This is a non-coding RNA of Zootermopsis nevadensis, 1213 nucleotides long. The record is from RefSeq and is a predicted model, not a curated record. NCBI's taxonomy places the organism in Eukaryota, Metazoa, Arthropoda, Insecta, Blattodea, Termopsidae.
ACGUAAGACAAACAGUCAGACGAUUGUUUCGUCGUUCGCACAAAGCCCUUAAGAACAUAUAGAGAUGCGCACACUGUUACGACACGACAGCGACACGACUGGCAGUCGGUUACCUCUUACGACAACCCCGGACAUUUCUGUCUACCAACUGUCGUUGGCCCUUCGAAUUAUAUGAAAGCGCGCAGACGAACGGCCUUUCAUUUCGUGUGAGCAUUUGCAGACAGUAGACGAUUGUCAAACGUGGAUUUUGUUGAAACUGCUAUAGUAUGUGCACUUGUGAUACGCCUCAAUAAAAGGAGGAAAAGGAAUUACUGGGUGCAUCCAUUAUACAGGGAGAGACUGUUCAAAGGAAAAUUUCAUACUAUGUAUGAAACAUUACGGAAUUAUCCUGCAAAAUUCUUUUCAUAUUUUCGCAUGAGUACACAAAGUUUUGAUGAACUUCUAUUAUUGCUGAGACCGAGUAUAACCUAUCAAGAUACGGAUAUGCGUCUCGCUAUUUUACCUGAAGAAAGACUGGCAGUGACACUAAGCAGAACAUGGGUAUAAUCAAAAUGGAAAAUGAUGUUGAUGUUCAAAGUGAAAAAGAGUCAAUUGGCAUGGUAUCUGAUGAGGUUCAUCUACAAUCAACACUUUCAAUAAAAGAAGAUGAAAUUGAGAUCAUGAAUAUAAAACUUGAGGAUUUUGCAGAUACACAUGAAGAGGAGGAUCCUCUAGGAGAACUUCCAUUAAUAAAGUCUGAACAUGAGGUGAGUUUCACAUUUUUAUGCACUUUUAAGAAAUACGUAGGAUUACGUGUUUUGUGUCUCUUGUCAAUCUCCACAUGAAGGAAUUCCACUCUGUUGAAUGGAUUUUGAAAUGUCCUUUGAAUAAUGGUGCCAGAGGACUGAAUUUUCUUGGGCACUAUUUAUGAAAUACCAUUUUAAUUAUGUGUUGCAUCAGUUUUAAAACAUAUGAAAUUAAACAUUGACCAAACUGAGAAAUAUUUUAGACAAAUAUAGCCCAUAAAUCUUGUAUAAUUUGUGGGCUUUGUAUUGAAAAUACUGCGUGCUAUUGAAUUUCUUAUACAAUUCACAGGAACUAUGAAUGUUCUAAGAUUAUCUUUUAUUUCUUUUGUAAGUUGAUGCAAAUUGUACUCAUAUAUUAGAACAGUGUUGUCAUUUCUGUUAAGCAUCAUUAACUCUUUCCAUAUGGAAAGCUAAAAUUGAGUGUGUAA